AGCAGCCGCGGUAAUUCCAGCUCCAAUAGCGUAUAUUAAAGUUGCUGCAGUUAAAAAGCUCGUAGUUGAAUUUCGGGACCAUCAUGUCGGUCGUGCCUCGGUACGUACUGGCAUUGUUGGUUUCUCCCUUCUGACGAACCAUGAUGUCAUUUAUUUGGUGUUGUGGGGAAUCAGGACUGUUACUUUGAAAAAAUUAGAGUGUUUAAAGCAGGCUCACGCUUGAAUACAUUAGCAUGGAAUAAUGAAAUAGAACGUUUGAUUCUAUUUUGUUGGUUUCUAGGAUCGACGUAAUGAUUAAUAGGGAUAGUUGGGGGCAUUAGUAUUCAAUUGUCAGAGGUGAAAUUCUUGGAUUUAUUGAAGACUAACUACUGCGAAAGCAUCUGCCAAGGAUGUUUUCAUUAAUCAAGAACGAAAGUUAGGGGAUCGAAGACGAUCAGAUACCGUCGUAGUCUUAACCAUAAACUAUGCCGACUAGGGAUCGAAUGAUGUUAAUUUUUUAAUGACUCAUUCGGCGCCUUACG
RNAcentral lists this ribosomal RNA (521 nucleotides) under uncultured Glomeraceae. RNAcentral's name for it is "SSU rRNA". It matches the Rfam family "Eukaryotic small subunit ribosomal RNA", at positions 569 to 1092 of the family's 1831-position model. The record is from RNAcentral. Lineage: Eukaryota; Fungi; Glomeromycota; Glomeromycetes; Glomerales; Glomeraceae.